UACGUAGGGAGCAAGCGUUAUCCGAAUUUAUUGGGUGUAAAGGGUGUGUAGGCGGUCUAAUAAGUCUAAGAUCUAAUUUUGGGGCUUAACUCCAAACCGUCUUAGAAACUGUCAGACUAGAGUAUGGUAGAGGCAAGUGGAAUUUCUAGUGUAGCGGUAAAAUGCAUAGAUAUUAGAAGGAACACCAGUGGCGAAGGCGACUUGCUGGGCCAAUACUGACGCUGAGACACGAAAGCGUGGGGAGCAAAUA
RNAcentral lists this ribosomal RNA (250 nucleotides) under uncultured prokaryote. RNAcentral's name for it is "partial 16S ribosomal RNA". It matches the Rfam family "Bacterial small subunit ribosomal RNA", at positions 524 to 774 of the family's 1533-position model. The record is from RNAcentral.